GGGCAGAUAGCUCAGUCGGUAGAGCACGGGACUGAAAAUCCCGGUGUCGCCGGUUCGAUCCCGGCUCUGCCCACCA
This 76-nucleotide transfer RNA is filed under the name Planctomycetes bacterium GWA2_40_7. Its description in RNAcentral is "tRNA-Phe". It matches the Rfam family "tRNA". Rfam says of the family: Transfer RNA (tRNA) molecules are approximately 80 nucleotides in length. RNAcentral also lists the same sequence under 3 other names. The record is from RNAcentral. Lineage: Bacteria; Pseudomonadati; Planctomycetota.